UACGUAGGGUGCGAGCGUUAAUCGGAAUUACUGGGCGUAAAGCGUGCGCAGGCGGUUCGUUGUGUCCGUCGUGAAAGCCCCGGGCUUAACCUGGGAACUGCGAUGGAAACUAGCGAGCUGGAGUGUGGCAGAGGGGGGUGGAAUUCCGCGUGUAGCAGUGAAAUGCGUAGAGAUGCGGAGGAACACCGAUGGCGAAGGCAGCCCCCUGGGCUAGCACUGACGCUCAGGCACGAAAGCGUGGGGAGCAAACAGG
Molecule: ribosomal RNA, 253 nt
Filed under: uncultured bacterium
Lineage: Bacteria
Description: partial 16S ribosomal RNA
Rfam family: Bacterial small subunit ribosomal RNA
Source: RNAcentral